Mirounga angustirostris (Northern elephant seal) is the source of this 610-nucleotide long non-coding RNA. RefSeq lists it as uncharacterized. Lineage: Eukaryota; Metazoa; Chordata; Mammalia; Carnivora; Phocidae. The transcript is spliced from 4 exons. The record is from RefSeq and is a predicted model, not a curated record.
AACAUUAGAGACUGGGUCAUCAAUUUGAGUGAGUCUGUGGAGGAUGGUCCAAAAAGUUCACAAGGCAAUUUCAGCCAAGGUGCUGGCGCACCUCUUCUGCCAUCAAAACAGUUGUCCCUUGUAGUGGACCCUGAAGACUGUUCGUUCGCUUUGCAAAGUGGAAGUCGGAAUUCAGAUGUGCAGAUGUUGGAUGUUUACAGUCUAAUUCCUUUUGACAAUCCAGAUGGUGGAGUUUGGAAACAAGGAUUUGACAUUAGCUAUUUAUUUAAUGAAUGGGACUCUAAGCCCCUUCAAGUCUUUGUGGUGCCUCAUUCCCAUAAUGACCCAGGUUGGUUGAAGACUUUUGAUGACUACUUUAGAGAGAUGACUCAGUAUAUUUUUAAUAACAUGGUCAUCAAGCUGAAAGAAGACUCACGGAGAAAAUUUAUGUGGUCUGAGAUUUCUUACCUUUCAAAGUGGUGGGAUACUAUAGAUAAGCUGAAGAAGGAUGCUGUUAAAAGUUUGCUACAGAAUGGUCAGUUUGAAAUUGUGACAGGUGGCUGGGUUAUGCCUGAUGAAGCUGCUCCACAUUAUUUUGCCUUAAUUGACCAACUAAUUGAAGGACAUCAGU